CCUCUCUCUCUUGUACUCUAAAUAAUUUUCUUUGUAAAAUUUUCUAAGUAAUUGAAUAAAAGUUUGCAAUUUGGUUGAUCUGCUGGGAGUUUGUCUUAAGGUACUUUUCUUAUUUUAUUUACUUCUUUUUAUGUAUUAGACCCAAAUGAUGGGAUAAACUAUUUGUGUUGAGUUGUAGCAUACUAAGUUACUAUAAUAACUGGUGUAUGUUGCUAUCAUGAAGAUAGUUUGAACAGUCAGAUUAAGGUCAUAAAUAGAUUACCCAGGCAUAGUUAUGAAAAAUCGCUGCAUUGAUUUAUUGUAUUACCCGUUGGAUUAUCCAUGUGGAGGGUGGACCCGAAAGGACCCGGAUAGUAAGGAUUUUCAUAUACUUUUGCCAAGAUUAAUCUAUGUUCGUAAAGGUUCCUCAUAGUCUGAUUGUGCGAUCCGUUUUCACUUUGGUAUCAGAGCCAUGGAAUUAUAGUAACUAUAGGUGUUAUAGUUCAACACAGUAGGAAAAAAGAGUAUGAUAUACCUCAGCCCUUAGAUCUACUUAAUAAUUGGACUAUUCCUAGAAUAUCACCUAUAAUCAUAUAUCAUAUGGGUACUUUCGAGAAGCUUGGUCUCAAACAGGUGGUUAAAACCACGGGAGAAACUAUCACUAUUGAUAGUGAUAAUCAGACUUUUAAAUUAUUAUCUGAAAAUGAUUUAGCCCCUUAUAGGGAUAUUUACCGUUUUAUGCAUAUUGGUUUAGUACAAGUGGCCUUUAAGCCCCUUACUUUACGUGGACUUCUUGAAAGCUUUAUAGCAGUUUUACGUGAUGGUAGAAAUUAUAACUGGAAGAAAUCUCUUAUAGGAACUAUACAAACUCGUCUAGCUUAUGGACCAGUUUAUUUUAAUGUUUAUCCUAACUUGCAGAUUUCCUUGCAGGAUGAGAACUCAUUAAGUUCGCUCAUGUUAAAUGUUAAACAUCAUGGUUAUGAUUAUAUACCUGGAAUUGAAGUUGUUUUUAUUUGUUAUAGAAUUUAUUAUAAACUUUUGCAUACUUUAAAUCCUAUGUGCAAAAUGAUUGAUUUCAAAAAUGAGACUAUUUUGAUAGAAACUAAUUUUGAUAAAUCUAAAGUAGUCACUAGAAGACCUAUCAAGUGGGAAGAAAUUGAUUUUCCACAAGAAUGGGUUAUUGAAAGUGCUACUCAACCCAGAAAUAAUAUUAAUUCGGAGAUUUCUGAAAUUGAACAGUUGAAUGAUGGAACUGUUAAAAUUAAAUUUUCUGAUAUUUCUGAUGUGCAUGAUAGAAUUGAGAAUCGUAGCAUAUCUUCUAGAAUGACUAGAUCUAAUUCCUCUUACAUUUCUAAUAUUGAUUAUAUUGUGCAAGCUCCUUCUCGUGCUUCUACUUCUCAAAUUAGAGAAAGUUAUAAUAUAAAAAUUGAUAAAGAUAACAUUGCUCGACCUAUUUCCAGGGCUAGCUCAGAUUUAGAUAUAACUGAAUUUGAAAUGAAUUUUCCAGAUGGAUUGACGACAUGAAAUUUGUUUUAUGAUGUCUGACAAACAAAUUGAUUUUAGUCCGGGUUCACCGGCAAGAGACAGAAUCGCUAAAGAUUUUCAGCGAAAGAAAUGGAAACUUUUCAGAAAAUGGUUCUUCAAAAAUUUUAAUAAAAAAGAACAAUAUGAUUUUCAUGAAGAAUUUUAUAAAGAUAUUAUGGACUCAGAAAUAAAUCGAUUAGUUGCUUUUGUUCCUUGAUUUAUGUGCAAGCAUGUUCAUAACUAUAUUUCUAUGUUAGAGAAAGAUUUUACUCUAAGCAAUGGAGAAAUUACUAAAUCAAUUUUUCCUCCGCAACAGUCUUUUCAUAUUAAUAGAAAUGAUAAGGUUGUUAACUUUAAUGCUUUUUCAAAAUUGUUUGAAAAUGAUACUGCUUUAGUUACUACUAGUCAUGUCAAUGCCAUGAUUAAGCAGAAUAACUAUGCAAACAUUUAUAUGAGCAUAUUGGGUGAACAUAUUGUUUCUUUGCAUGAUAAAGUUGAUAAACUAAUCUCUUUGUUACCUACCAAGAUGAAAGGUAAGGAAAAGAUGGCUCAUAGUAGUCUACAACCCCCACCAGUUAUUGAUAAUUUCAAGAUUAAAGAUUAUUCAGAUCUUGAGGAUUUCUUGGCAAAGAAAUUCAAAGGUGGUAGUCUCCAGCCUAUUAAUGCUAGAGACUUAUCUGAAGGAGAAACUAGUCAUAAGAAGGAAUUUUUUGAUGGUAUUAAUAAGAUCUCAGAAAACUAUGCUAGGAAACCAGUCCAAAGGAUGUAUUACUACCCUAGACCUACUCCUCAAGAUGCUUUGUUGGAGGAACAUGAACAUAUUAUAACUAAUAGUUAUAAUGGAAAGGAAAUCUAUGAAUGGAACAUAGACGGGUAUACAGAUAGGCAAAUCUAUACAACUGCUCGUCAAAUGUUGAUGUACAGCACUAUCUGUAAGAUUAAUAAAAAUAGUGAUAAGACUAUUGCUGAUAUGAUCACUGCAGGGUUUACAGGUCAAUUGAAAGGAUGGUGGGAUAACUAUCUCAAUCAAGAUCAAAGGGACAAGAUUCUCCAAGCAGUUCAACAAGAAGGAGAACAGUAUACUCAGAACGCAGUUUAUACAUUGGUCCUGAAUAUUAUAGAACGCUUCUCCGAAAGAUGGUCAGAUAAUAGUGAGACUAUUAGGACUCUGUUACAAAACCUUAGGUGUAAGACCCUUACAUCAUUUAGGUACUACAAGGAUGUUUUCUUAUGUAGAGUAAUGGAGUUACCUGAGUGUAAUAGCACUCAUUGGAAAUCAAAAUUUAUAGAUGGGUUACCUACUCUUUUUGCUGAAAGAGUAAGAAAGUCUUUAAGAGGAAACAAUACAAGUAUAAUUAUGAGGAUUAUACCUAUGGAAAACUUAUAAGUGCCUGCGUACAGGAAGGACUUUGCUUAUGCAAUGAGAUAAAGUUAAACCAAUAGAUGAAGCGACAUCGCUUAAAUGAAAAACAAUAAUUAAGAGAAUUUUGUGAACAAUUCGCAUUUGAUAUUCCUAAACAAAAGUCUAAGGACAAGGAAUAUACUCCUAAGAAAAAUAAAUCUUCCAAAAAGGAUUAUGAAAAAUGAAAGAAAAAGAAAAUAGAAAAGAAGCUUAGAAGAGCUGAAGAAGGUAAAUGAGACGCUUCUAAGAGAAAGAAAAAGUAUCUCCAUAAUUAUAAGAAGUCGGAUACUUGCCACAAAUGUGGAAGAUUUGGUCAUUAUGCAAAAGAUUGCAAAGUCAAGGAAAAGAUUAAAAGCCUUGAUGUAAGUGAUAGCAUAAAAAAUUCUCUUUAUAAGAUUAUUCUUAAUUCUGAUUUAGGAAGAUCAGAAUCAGAAGAUAGUAGCAGUGAUGAGUCCUCAACAAGUGAAGAUCUUAAGGCCCUUCAACAAGAAGAUUAUAUAACUUCAGAGGAUGAAUGUUCACCUUGUCAACAAGGUUUACAGUGUGAAAAGGAUGAAGAAGAGGAUGAUCUUUAUAAGAUCUAUUCUCAAUUUAAGGAAUUAAGUCUGAAUGUCAUUGAUAAUGACAAAGUACUAGAACUUUUACAAAGCAUUAUUAAUGAUCCAGAGAUAAGAGCUCAGCUUAUUGAUAAAAUCAGUAAUAAUACUCUAGUUAAGGAUCAUACUCCUAAGGAAAUCCCAACCAAAGAAGGUUCAUAUACCAUGGCAGAGGUUAAAAAUCUUCUACUAGAAAGGAGAAAGAUUAUAAGUUCUCCUACUACUAUUAGUGAUUUGAAGGAUGAGAUUAGUAAUCUCAAAGAAGACAUUGUUCGUCUUAAAGAAAAGAAUGUCGCUAUUGAGGCAAGACUUGAUGCUAUUCAAAGUCUCCAGGAUUUGGGUAAUGCCUCUGAUUCGUCAUCUUCUCUUGGAGGAGAAAACAAUAGUCUUGAUUUUAUGAAAAAUAAUAAAACAGAUUUUUUGCAUAGUCUUAAAGCUUUUACUUCUCAGAAGUUUUAUACAAAAAUCACUUUGCUUAUAGACUAUAUUUAUAAAAGAGAAUUUAUAGCUCUUAUUGACAGUGCUAUUGAUUUAAACUGUAUUCAAGAAGGACUUAUACCUUCAAGAUAUUUUCAUAAAACUACUCAUAGUCUUCGUUCUGCUAAUGGUAGCAAAAUGAAUAUUGAAUUUAAAUUACCAAAAACUUUUAUUUGUAAAGGAAAGAGUUGUGUUCCUCAAAGCUUUGUUUUAGUAAAAAAUAUCACCAACCAAAUUAUUUUGGGUGUCCCUUUUAUAAAUGAUAUUUUCCCUCUUACUCAUUGGGAUAAUAAUAAAAUUAUUGGAACUUGGAAUAACAACCCUUUCAUACUUGAGUUUGUUACAAAACCUUUUACUAGAAUGAUAAAUGAUCUGACUGCAAAAUUGAUUUUAAAAAAUAAUCCAGUUAGUUUUAUAAAACAAGAAAUCAAUAGUAUAGAAGUUGAUCAUAUUUUACAAAAUCCUAAAUUACAGGAAAAAAAUAAUAUUUUAAAUAGUCAAUUCUCUCUUGAUAUUUGUGGAGAUCAUCCUAAUACUUUCUGGAACAGGAAGAAGCAUGUAGUUAGUCUUUCAUAUGAAGAUAACUUUGAUGAGAUUAAUAUUCCUACUAAGGCUAGGCCAUGUCAAAUGAACUCAGAAUAUUUAGAGUUGUGCAAAAAGGAAAUCAGUUCCUUGCUUCAGAAAGGACUUAUAAGGUAGUCUAAGUCACCAUGGUCUUGUACGGUGUUCUAUGUUAAUAAACUUGCUGAGCAAGAAAGAGGAGCGCCAAGAUUGGUAAUAAAUUACAAACCGCUUAAUAAAACUUUACGAUGGAUCAUGUAUCCAAUUACUAAUAAGAAAGACUUAUUGGAUAGAGUUUAUGAUGCUACUAUAUAUUCUCUAAGUUUGAUCUGAAAUCAUGUUAUUGGAAAAUUCAGAUAGGUUCAAAACUGCUUUCAAUGUGCCAAUGGGACAAUUUGAAUUGAACGUUAUGCCUUUUGGUUUAAAAAAUGCUCCAUCAGAAUUCCAAAAAAUGAAUGAUAUUUUUAUACCUUAUAGCAAUUUUAUAAUUGUUUAUAUAGAUGAUAUCUUAGUAUUCUCCAAAAAUGUGGAAACUCAUUUUAAACAUCUUGAUUUAUUUAAAAAGAUUAUUACUCAAAAUGGUUUAGUUUGAUCUCAACCUAAGAUAGCAUUGUUUAAAACAAAUGCCAGAUUCCUUGGUCAUAAUAUUGAAAGAGGAAAUAUUAGUCCUAUCAAUAGAAGUAUUGAAUUUGCUUCUAAAUUUCCUGAUAUUAUUACUAACAAGACACAAUUACAGAGGUUUCUUGGAAGUCUUAAUUAUGUUGCUCCUUUUAUAAAGGAUUUAGCAAAAGACUCAACUGUUUUUUAUGACAGGUUGAAAAAUAAUCCUAAGGCUUGGUCAAAUUACCAUACGGAAGCAGUUAAAAGGAUUAAAGAGAAGGUUAAAAACCUUCCUUGUCUCACUUUGGCCAAUCCAAAUUGGGAAAAAAUGGUAGAAACUGAUGCUUCAAAUAUAGGAUAUGGUGGUAUCGUAACACAAUAUUGUCCUGAUAAUAAACGACAUUAUAUUGUACAAUUUUAUCUUGGCAAAUGGAACACAGCCCAGAAGAAUUAUGCCACUGUAGCUAAAGAAAUACUGGCUAUAGUGAAAUGUGUUCUUAAAUUUCAAGGCGGUCUUUAUAACCAAAAAUUCAGACUGAUUGCCAAACAGCUAAGUUUAUGUUUAACAAAGACUGUAAGCAUGAUGUUUCUAAACAGAUGUUUGCUAGAUGACAAGCUUUGUUGGCUCCUUUUGAUUUUGAAAUACAGUAUAAAAAAGGGGAAGAUAACAGUCCUCCAGAUUUUCUCACUCGAGAAUAUUUAGAUUAAUCUAAAUUGUUUUUCUUUGACAGGAUGAGCUUAAGACCAUCAGGUCCCUCUCCAAGGAAAAGAGGAGGAAGGGGAAGAAGUAAUUCAGGAAGAAGAGGCCAUAUCCUCGUCCAACAUGGAAAUAAGAAAUUGAUAGCAGCUAAUAGCAGCAGUUCAACAAGUGGAACAAGUGGUGUUGAUAUAAACCAUCCAAUGUACAAAGAAUUCAUGGAUUUUAUGAAAUCCAAGAAGGAAUCGAAUAAUAAUCCACCAUCCUCUUGGAUGAUGAAAACAUAGAAGUAUUUGAUUUGAAUGACAAAAGAGAAGUUAUACUUCUACUUGAAAACAGUGACCUAAGAUGGAAAAAUGAACCAUGGCAUGUAAUGUCCAGAUAUCAGGAUACAGUAUGUUAUAUUACUACUGUGUAUAAAUACAGAAUGGAUUAUGAGAUAAUACUCUCUGCCACAAGGUCAUGUGAAUUUCAACACUUCUAUCCAGCAAACACAAAAAAGUUUUAUAACUUUUCUAAGAUGAUUAUUAAAAAGAUCUUAGCACCUGAAGAAUAGGGUAUCAGCCCUUUGAAGAAAAUGGAUUAAAUCCAUUUCCUGAACAAAACGUCGCAGUAAAAUAUAACUACUGGGAUUACAUUGAUGGCUUUAAUAAAGCAAUGUUAUAUGAAAAUGCUAAUAAGAAGCAUUCAUGGUUUAUCAAGAUAUGCGGUAAUAUAUUUGGAAGUAUAUUCCGAAUUGGUUCUGCAAAUGGUGGACAUUAUAUGGUCCUUCAGUGAAAAUAUUACAUGAGUCAUAUAAAAAAUUAUAUUCAGAAUGGGUAGAUAUCUCCCAAAAAUUAUAAAUUUACUAGAUGAUAAUAUAUUCUUUGAAGGAAUGUCAAUAAUGUAUUUCUUUAUUGAAUUUUCUAUUCCAUGAAUCAUGAAAUAGUCGGUGGAAGUUAAUACCACUUCCGAUGGAUUCCCAUGUUUACAAAGGACAUUUUAUACCAAGUUCUGGAGUAAACUAUUACAGAAGGACCAGGAAGGAAAGGUUCAUGGUCAAGAAAUUCUUGAUUCAAUAAAUGGAAAAAUUAGCACAUAUUAUGAUAUUGCUACUUCAGAACCACAGGUGAUAGAGGAUCUGAGUCCAUUUAAGAAGAUCACAAGAAAACUUCAAAUGAAGAAAGGUUUGAUUUUGAAAUCAGAAGCCAUAUCUUUGAAUAUGGAAGAAGUGAAAAAAGAUUUAAUGAGAAAUCUUGAUAUUGAAAUCAAGGAUGAUAUCUCCAUGGCAUCAGCCAGCCAUACAAAUGAUGAUGAUGAUAAUUGCAUAGCUGGAGAGGGACAAGAUGCUGAUGAAGAGAUCGAUAUUAGACUCUUUUACAAAAAUAUCAACAACAGAUAAAAGAAUCUUCUAGCACCAGCAUCGUUGUCAAAGGGAAAAAUAAAGAAUGAAAACCCCACAGAUAGCGUAAUGAAAUACUCUAAUAGAGUUGUCGGCCACAUGUAAUAAGGCCAAAAUACUUUUAUAAAGUAAUAUUAGUGGAAGCCAAAAGUAAUGUCGGCUAGUAAAAUAAUGCAAGGUCAUAUGGGUGUGUCGGCCUUAUCGUUUUAUUAAUGGCCAUUGAAAAAGUGUGGAUCAGUACCUUUUUGUAAUUUUUAACUUUUAAAGGUUCCUCUCAUAUCUAUAUAAGAAGAAGAAAUGUGUGUAGUUAGAGGCAGGUUUUAGAACCCCCUCUCUCUCUUGUACUCUAAAUAAGUCUUUUGUAAAAUUUUCUAAGUAAUUGAAUAAAAGUUUGCAAUUUGGUUGAUCUGCUGGGAGUUCAUCUUAAGGUACUUUUCUUAUUUUAUUUAUUUCUUUUUAUGUAUUAGACCCAAAUGAUGGGUUAAACUGUUUGUGUUGAGCUGUAGCAUACUAAGUUACUAUAAUAACUGGUGUAUGUUGCUAUCAUGAAGAUAGUUUGAACAGUCAGAUUAAGGUCAUAUAUAGAUUACCCUGGCAUAGUUAUGAAAGAUCGCUGAAUUGAUCCAUUGGAUUACCCAUGUGGAAGGCGGACCCGGACGGACCGGAUAGUAAGGAUUUUCAUAUAUAUACUUCUAUCAGGAUUAAUCUAUGUUCGUAAAGGUUCCUCAUAGUCUGAUUGUGCG
RNAcentral lists this long non-coding RNA (7960 nucleotides) under Solanum tuberosum (potato). RNAcentral describes it as "long non-coding RNA (STUB_LNC007632)". Lineage: Eukaryota; Viridiplantae; Streptophyta; Magnoliopsida; Solanales; Solanaceae. The record is from RNAcentral.